Non-coding RNA from Empidonax traillii (willow flycatcher), 369 nucleotides. The record is from the annotation of a RefSeq genome assembly. Lineage: Eukaryota; Metazoa; Chordata; Aves; Passeriformes; Tyrannidae.
CCCCUGUUGCUCCUCUGCCGCCCCUCCGGCUUCACCUUCGGCAGGUACUACAUGAACUGGGUGCGCCAGAGCCCCGGGAAGGGGCUGGAAUGGCUUGCUGGGAUCUGGACGGAUGGUUCCCGCACGUUCUACGCGCCGUCGGUGAAGGGCCGGUUCAGCAUGGCCAGGGACAACGGGCAGAGCUCGGUGACGCUGCAGAUGAACAACCUCAGGGACGAGGAUUCCGACACCUAUUUCUGUGCCAAAUAUGUUAAUGCUGCUGCUGGUACUGCUGAUGGCAUCGACUCCCUUUGUAGGGUCCUCAAACCUCCCCAGAUCUCCUCCUCCGCACCCAAAUCUGAACUGUUGAUUCCAAACGUCAAACGUUGA